This 955-nucleotide ribosomal RNA is filed under the name Parastacus pilimanus. RNAcentral describes it as "eukaryotic LSU rRNA". It matches the Rfam family "Eukaryotic large subunit ribosomal RNA", at positions 724 to 1615 of the family's 3401-position model. Lineage: Eukaryota; Metazoa; Arthropoda; Malacostraca; Decapoda; Parastacidae. The record is from RNAcentral.
UCCGAAGUUCGCCGAGCGGGUCGUUCGUGAUGAGGCGGGCGGGCGGGCGUGCGUGCAGUCGGCAAGUACCAGGAGCAGACAUGUUGGGACCCGAAAGAUGGUGAACUAUGCCUGGCCAGGAUGAAGCCAGAGGAAACUCUGGUGGAGGUCCGUAGCGAAUCUGACGUGCAAAUCGAUCGUCUGAGCUGGGUAUAGGGGCGAAAGACUAAUCGAACCAUCUAGUAGCUGGUUCCCUCCGAAGUUUCCCUCAGGAUAGCUGGAACUCGCAGGAUGAGUUUCAUCCGGUAAAGCGAAUGAUUAGAGGUCUUGGGGACGAAACGUCCUCAACCUAUUCUCAAACUUUAAAUGGGUAAGAUGCCGAGCUUGCUUGAACGCUGAAGCUUCGGCGAUUAAUCUGAGUAUCUAGUGGGCCAUUUUUGGUAAGCAGAACUGGCGCUGUGGGAUGAACCAAACGUCGAGUUAAGGGGCCUAAAUGAAUGCUCAUUCAGAUCCCAUGGAAAGGCGUUGGUUGCUAUAGACAGUAGGACGGUGGCCAUGGAAGUUGGAAUCCGCUAAGGAAUGUGUAACAACUCACCUGCCGAAGCAACUAGCCCUUAAAAUGGUAUGGCGCUCAAGCAUUCUCCCGAUACUCGACCGCCGGGGCACUAGCGGCCACGUCCCUGGAGGCGAGGUCUCGAAGCCCCGGCGAGUAGGAGGGUCGCAGUGGUGAGCGCUGAAGGGAUCCGGCGUGAGCCGGCCUGGAGCCGCCACUGGUGCAGAUCUUGGUGGUAGUAGCAAAUAAUCGAGAGAGACUCCCUUGAAGACCGAAGUGGGGAAGGGUUCCAUGUGAACAUCAGUUGGACAUGGGUUAGUCGCUCCUAAGCCCAAGGCUAAGGCCUGAUCCCACGCUAGCGGCAACGGCUAAUGUAAUAAGUUCUCUGAGGCAGGCAGAGAGAGAGAGAGAGAGAGAGAGAGA